AGUCUGGUGCCAGCAGCCGCGGUAAUUCCAGCUCCAAUAGUGUAUACUAAUGUUGCUGCAGUUAAAAAGCUCGUAGUUGGAUUUCGGUUAACAGAGGGAUAGUCUACAUUUUAUAUGUACGCACUGUCAAUUUGUUUCCUUCUUUUCAGUAAUUAGAUUUAUCCAGUUCUGAAUUAUUUACUUUGAAAAAAUUAGAGUGUUCAAAUCAGGCGUAUUUUGCCUUUGAAUAUAUUAGCAUGGGAUAAUGAAAUAAGACUUUUUGCCUUAUUCUCGUUGGUUUUUUGAGGCUAAAGUAAUGAUUAAUAGGGAUAGUUGGGGUCAUUAGUAUUAAAUUGUCAGAGGUGAAAUUCUAAGAUUAAUUUAAGACUGACUACUGCGAAAGCAUUUGACAAGGAUGUUUUCAUUAAUCAAGAACGAAAGUUGGGGGAUCGAAGAUGAUCAGAUACCGUCGUAGUCUCAACCAUAAACUAUGCCGACCAAGGAUUCGGGGGUGUUAUAUGAAUGACCCUCCGGGCACUUAUAGAGAAAUCAUAAGUAUUUGGGUUCCGGGGGGAGUAUGGUCGCAAGGCUGAAACUUAAAGGAAUUGACGGAAGGGCACAACAAGGAGUGGAACUUGCGGUUUAAUUUGACCCAACACGGGAAAACUUACCAGGUCCAGACACAGUAAGGAUUGACAGAUUGAGAGCUCUUUCUUGAUUUUGUGGUUGGUGGUGCAUGGCCGUUUCUAGUUGGUGGAGUGAUUUGUCUGGUUAAUUCCGUUAACGAAUGAGACCUUAACCUAUUAAAUAGUUACACGAACCUGGAUUUAUCCUUUUGUUCGUGGAUAACUUCUUAGAGGGACUCUUCACGUAAAGAGUGAAUGGAAGUUUGAGGCAAAAACAGGUCUGUGAUGCCCUUAGAUGUUCUGGGCUACACGCGUGUUACACUGAUAUCUUCAACAAGCAUUCUUUCUCCUUACUCGAUGGAGUUGGGCAAUCUUUUAAAAUGAUAUCGUGAUGGGGAUAGAUCAUUGUAAUUAUUGGUCUUGAACGAGGAAUUCCUAGUAAGGGUAAGUCAUCAACUUGCCCUGAUACGUCCCUGCCCUUUGUACACACCGCCCGUCGCUCCUACCGAUGAAUGGUCCGGUGAGGAUUUAGGAGGACCGCAGUUACUGGUGUCAAAGCCAUUCUGUUGUUUGUCCGAAUUCAUUCAAACCUUAUCAUUUAAAGGAAGGAGAAGUCGUAACAAGGU
RNAcentral lists this ribosomal RNA (1231 nucleotides) under metagenome. RNAcentral's name for it is "SSU rRNA". It matches the Rfam family "Eukaryotic small subunit ribosomal RNA", at positions 558 to 1800 of the family's 1831-position model. The record is from RNAcentral.